Long non-coding RNA from Engraulis encrasicolus (European anchovy), 708 nucleotides. RefSeq lists it as uncharacterized. The transcript has 3 exons. NCBI's taxonomy places the organism in Eukaryota, Metazoa, Chordata, Actinopteri, Clupeiformes, Engraulidae. The record is from RefSeq and is a predicted model, not a curated record.
CCUACAGAUAGGCUACGAGCCGUAUCUGGAUGAGAUGGAGCGACGAGGCUCCGAAAGUUCGGAUGGCGAAGCAGAAGGCGCUGUCGGUGGUGCUGCUGUGACAGACGGCGGGAUGCCAAGAGACGUUGGCAGGCUGCAGCGCGUGGAAUGGUGUUCUUGUGGGAGGUGUGCGCCGAUGCAAACAGUAAAGGGCUGUGUGCUGCCGUGAGCAGCCCAAAGUGUGCGCCAGGAGAGAAGAGGAGCGGAAACACAUCCGCUGCGUAACAGAACAUUCUGGCUUUCAGCCCGUUUGUCUGAACGAGCACGUUCUCCGCACCGCAUAUUUCCACUACCGGCAAGACUACGGGGACGUAGAGGGAAACGAGUGGAAGAGAUAUACUGCAUAUAGACAAUUUGUUAGAUUUUGCUAUGACUACCUGGGAAUACACGCCAAGGUCCCCUUACCUUCCUUUGUGGUGUGGUCCAUCCGGAGAACUUUUCCCUCUACAGAUUACAGGGGGUUCCAGGACAACAGCCCGUGAUGUUGCUCAUGCACAAGUGUUGGUAAAUAAAUGACAAUGAAUGUCAAUACAUGUUACCUGUAGCUUCACAUGAAUGUGUCUUCAUUUUACAACUCACAACAGCGUACAACAAAUAGGCCUAGGGGGCGGCAAAAUACAACCUCACCAGUGGCGGUUUUAGAACGUCUGAGGUCCUAGGCAAAGAACA